RNAcentral lists this long non-coding RNA (3172 nucleotides) under Malus domestica (apple). RNAcentral describes it as "long non-coding RNA (MDOM_LNC001092)". The record is from RNAcentral. Lineage: Eukaryota; Viridiplantae; Streptophyta; Magnoliopsida; Rosales; Rosaceae.
GAGCUCAUGUACCUCCGGAUUGUACUCAAAGCCGUAUUCAAAGAAGAUCGACGCCUUAAGGAUGCCGAGGGGUUAUCAACCACCAAAGUUCAUGCAAUUUGAUGGAAAGGGAAACCCGAAACAGCACGUGGCCUACUUCGUUGAAACUUGCAACAACGCAGGAAUCGAAGGGGAUUACCUCGCCAAGCAGUUUGUGCGCUUGCUGAAAGGAAGCGCCUUUGAGUGGUACACGGAUCUGGAGCCUGAGUCCAUCAACAGUUGGGAGCAAUUAGAGCGGGAAUUCCUCAACCGCUUCUAUAGUACCCGCCGCACUGUGAGCAUGCUAGAGCUAACGAGCACAAAGCAGUGGAAGGACGAGCCAGUCAUUGACUACAUCAACAGAUGGCGCACUCUAAGCCUUGACUGUAAGGACAGGCUCUUGGAAACCUCUUCAAUCGAGAUGUGCAUCCAAGGCAUGCAAUGGGGUUUACAAUACAUCCUUCAAGGCAUUAAACCGCGGACCUUCGAGGAAUUGGCCACUCGCGCCCAUGACAUGGAGUUGAGCAUCGCCCAUCAUGGGAAGAAAGAACCGGUCACCGACUACAAGGACGACAAAGUUCUUGGGACAAAGGCGGAAAAGACUGCAUGGAAACCCACCAAGGAAGCGAUGACGGUCAAUACAGGUCCCGUCAAAAUCUCCACACGAGGCAAGGUGAUUCAAAACGAAGCUUUUCGUGAUCAAGAGAUGCGUAGACGCACUUUGAAGGAGCUUGAGGAGAAGACUUAUCCAUUCCCCGACUCUGAUGUGGUUGCCAUGCUGGAUGACCUGUUGGACAAGAAGGUGAUCAGUUUGCCUGAGUGCAGACGGUCGGAAGAGAUGAAUCGUACCGACAAUCCAAGAUACUGUAAAUUCCAUCGCUUCAUCAGUCAUCCGACAGAAAAAUGUUUCGUGCUGAAAGAUCUUAUCAUGAAACUGGCUCAGAAAGGAAUCAUCGAGCUAGAUCUUGACAAAGUGGCGAAGUCAAACUAUACCACCUUCACUUCUGGCUCUUCCGACUCAAAGUUUUCACCUCAACCGCUGGGGGCAUCGUCCAAGACAAGCAAAAUUGAAGGAUGGACUCAAGUCACUCCUAAGAAAUUGCACAAGAAGCAUACGUCUCCUCCACAUGUCCGCCAAUUGGAAAGGGGGCAAAGCAGCUCUUGUCAACCUUCAAAGCAACAUAAACGUGUUGAAGAUGAUGAAAUUUCGACACAUAGAUCGUCCAUCCCUAUCACAAUGCGUGAUUUCUUUCCUGAAGACUUCUUCAAUCACUCGGUCAAGGCUCAUUGCUAUGAAGAUUAUGAGGAACGCCUCUCCAAAAUUGCUUGACAAACACACCAACGCUCCUUGCCUGCACGAGCUGAAACUGCAACACGGCACCAAAUGCUCCUUGUCUGCACGAGUUAAAACUGCAAACGACACCAACGCUCCUUGCCUGCACGAGCAUAAAAGGCAACACCAACGCUCCUGGUCUGCACGAGCAUAAAAGGCGACGACCCAAAGCUCCUUGCCUGCACUAGCCUAAACUGCAUGGCACAAUGCUCCUGGUCUGCACGAGCAUAAAAGGCAACACCAACGCUCCUGGUCUGCACAAGCAUAAAAAGCAACACCAACGCUCCUUGCCUGCACGAGCUGAAACUGCAACACGGCACCAAAUGCUCCUUGUCUGCACGAGUUAAAACUGCAAACGACACCAACGCUCCUUGCCUGCACGAGUUAAAACUGCAAACGACACCAACGCUCCUGGUCCGCACGAGCACAAAAGGCGGCACCAAAUCGCUCCUUGCCUGCACGAGUUGAAACUGCAAACGGCACCACCAAAAGAAAAUACAAAAAAAAUAUGUAUGUAUUUGAACUACGUUUUGACUUGAUCUCUUUCUUUGGAAGGGUACGUAGGCAGCUCGAGCAUUCAAAAUUUUGAGUUCAGUCACAUCAAAAUAUAAAUAAAUGUUUUAUUAAAGAAAGUCAAUUUUAUUAAAAAAAAAAUGAUGAAUACAUAUGUUUAUGUAUUUAAAAAAAUAAAAAUUCCUUAUACAUACAUAUAUAUAUAUAUAUAUAUAUAUAUAUAUAUAUAUAUGUCUUCUAUCUAGCAGCAAUAAACCCAUCAAAAGGAGGUUGGCCAAGCCCAAAGCCUAUUGUCCAAAUCCAGCUCCAAGAAGAAGAAACCCAAAUCAAACCAGGCCCAUCUCCUUCCUUGUCCACCAAUUUCAAAACCGGGCCCAGCUCUCAAAGCCCAUCUUCACAAGUCUCACUCUCUCUGCUAAAAUGGCUGCGGGGAAUGUGAAACCGAGCGAAUCGAUGGUCUCGAUGAUCGUCCUUCCUUCUCCACCGUUCCGCCGCCUACUCUCGUCUUCUCUCGGUCGGAGCUCCACAAAGCCUUCAGAUGCAAUGGUUCAGGAUUAGGGUUCAAAGGUGCUGGGAUCAAAUAGAUUUGCAAAGCUUCAGAGAAAAUGGUAGAUCUGCUCUCGUCUUCUCUCGUCAGCCCUCAUCUCCCCCAUCUCUUUUUCAAACUUCUGGUGGCAGAAUUGGUUGGUGAAUUGUUAGAGUCCAUCAAUCCCUACCUACGACCAUUCUCACCAAAACCCCCAACUUUCCCUUCCGCCAAGCUCCCACAAUUGUAGAGACACCAAUUUAGACAACUCUCGAAAGAGAUUUUUUGAGAGAGAGAUGGCCCAAGUGAGCAAAAUCUGCAGCAAUGGAGCUCAAAGCAUCAAUCUUUUGCCCAAUGUUUCCAAACCCCAAAUGCCCAGAUCAUCAAAUUUUCUCCCAUUGAAGUCCCAGUUUCUGGGUUCCUCAAAUUCUUUGAGUUUGAAGCUGAAAAAUGGGCUUGUGGGCAGUUGGACCGUCGGUAAAGUCAGGGUCGAUCCGCUUACAGUUGCACCUUCAGUUGCCACAGCAGAGAAGCCGUCCACGGUUCCGGAGAUUGUGCUGGCAACCUAUCAGCAAAAAAAAAAAAAAAAUCUGCCAGAAUUGAAUAUCAAGGUAUCUGGUGAUCCAAUAAUGAUCAAAUUCCAGGAUGUGAAACCGACUCCUGCUGGGACAGUGGCACAGUGUGUUUUGCUCCAUUUGGAUGGUUCAAUCAAUUUCAGCAAUGUGGAAUAAGGCAAUAUGUGUUCAGCAGUUCAACAAGGGCACUUCUCCAUAGCGGUCAAG